Molecule: long non-coding RNA, 1531 nt
Organism: Oncorhynchus keta (chum salmon)
Lineage: Eukaryota; Metazoa; Chordata; Actinopteri; Salmoniformes; Salmonidae
Exons: 8
Source: RefSeq, a predicted model, not a curated record
CACGGCGUCAACAGCCGACCAGCACUGUGAGCUGUUGGUUAGAGCAGGGUUUCCCCAAAGUCGGUCCUGGAGCUCCCCUCCCCUGUGUGCACGUUUGUUUUUUUUUGCCCAAGCACUGCAAAGCGGAUUCAAACAAUCAAAGAUUGAUGCGUUGGUAAGUUGAAUCAGCUGUGUAGUGCUAGGGAAAAACACCAAACAUUCACCUGGGGGCCCAGGACCGACUAUGGGAAACCUUGGGCUAGAGUGCACAUGCCAAGGCCAGAGUUGGCAUAUUUGCUAUUGAAUUAAUGCAAUAGUUUUAGUGGAAAAAACUAUCGGUAGAGUUGAAAAUGCGAUGGAAACAUAUUCAACUAUAAGCUUUUUUUUUAGCUCACUGAUUUUGAUCCGCAAAAAGUACAUUUGGUUGAAACCCCACUGGUGCGGAAAAGACGCGUAUUUACUUUUUGCUUAUUCUGGCAGUAUUCACUAAAAUCUGCCGCCAAUUGGACGGAAACCUAGCUGGUCGACCUGUAUGCGAUUGAAUGAAACCACUCGAAUGCAUAUUUGCUUGCCUUAAAUUGUCCUUCAAAGAUUCCGUAGGUGAUCCUUAUAAAUAGACACCACCCCGUUUUUCGUUCUCUUUUUCUCACUCAGAAGUCUGAGCAUGUCUCCAAGAUGAAGAGUACAAUGAGGAACAUUAGAUGCCACCAUGACCUAUUGGUGUCACUGUCCAAGCAGAUGGCACAUGAACGUAGCACGAAGGCCUGCCUUUUCUCCCUGAAAUAAUAUAGUGAUAAAGGAUGGUCUGGUGGCGCAGCAGUGCUGACUUACUGGUUAGUGGGUCAUGACGUGGCGCCACAAGCAAUGGAUGUGAAGCGAGCCAAUGCGAAAUUGGUAUACCGCUGGUUGGUGUCCUAGCGGCUGUGACCUAGAAGUAGCAGAAUGAUUGUCGCCUUUCCUCCCUGAAAGAAUGCUGUGCAGUGUGCACAUGACAACGAUAAAGGAUGGUCUGGAGGUGCAGCAGUGCUGACCUACUAGUUAUAGUGGGUCUGACGUGAAGCCACAAGCCAUGCUGCCAAUGAGAAAUUGGUAUAUUGGUGUCCUAGCAGAUGUAACCUGGAAGUAGCAGAAUGAUUGCCGCCUUUCCUCCCUGACAGAAUGCUGUGCACAGAACGGGUCUGGCAGUGUGGGGUUGACAUGGAGCCACAGGUCAUUAUGGGGCAGGUGCUGAAGAACGACUGAAGAUUGUGGCCUGUUUCAGUUGAAGAUGAAAGGUGGCAGUAAUGGGUUGUGCCUUAGAAGAAAGCAGAUUGUUCAGUUGCCGGUCCUAGACUAGGGUGCCAUCUGAUUGUGUAUGCAGCUGCCACUAUUAUAGCCAUUAGAUGCCGUUAAUCACAGCGAGCUCAAGUUUGAAUCUGGUUAUCACACAAACCCUUCACUUGGUGUGAGAUUUUUUUUAAUUAGUAUUUGUUGGGCCAGUGUACUUGCCCUGUUUUGAUUUGAAUAAAUGUAUUGCUUUCAAAAUAAUUCUAAUAAACUCAAGCUGACCUCA